UAGUUUCAUCCCUCCUGCUUAAUAUGGUGUCCAAUAAAACCUUGAAUUGCUGAAAUUCUUGCUCUCUGUUUCAUGUUUCGUCUUUGUUUAGUUGUGAAGUGUCUGCCGUUCCCCGUAUGAGAAAACUUCCUCUUCAGUUGGUGAGAUGCUGUUUCCUCAUGUGUCAGUGUGAGUCUCUCUGCAGAGCACACACACUCACACUUAAAAUCUUCUCUUGUGGAUGCUGGAGUUGAGGAAGAUCAUGCUGGUGUUUGGGCUGCUGCUGCUGAUACUGCAAACUGCUGCAUGUGUGGAGCGGUUCUGCAGUUUUACUCAGUCAGAUCCCUGUUAUGCAGCUCUGGGACACAAACUCAACCUGCAGAUGGUGAACGCCAGUAAAUAUAAACUGACCAUAAUAAAGAGAAUAGACAACACAGAUGAUGCAGCUUGUAGAGUAAGAAAUGACACAAAGAGAGCAAAUGAAUGUGAUCUUUAUAUAAACAGACCUGAAGUGAAAAUCAUUAAUGGGACUGUGAUGAUAAACCCGGUGAAGAGAGAAGAUUCAGGAGAUUUCAGAAUACAAUUUAAUAAUCCUGACGGCACAGAAACAUCUCAAGAUCUUCAGGUGAAUGUUGAAGCUCCUGUUGGCUCAGUGGAAGUGUCAGUCAUCUGCUCCUCCAAUCAGAUGAGGUCAGUGUCCUGCUCCUCUGAGGGGGAUCAGCUCCUCUACAGCUGGACUCUCAAUGGAGAAACACUGAUGGAUGAAAACAGGAACAUUUAUCUUGAAGAAGGAACUGAAGGAGAAAUCACCUGCACUGUGAAGAACCACGUCAGUAAAAGACAGAAGACUGUUAGCACCGAAGACUGUUCAGGUGAGAUAAUCAGAAAGUUUGUUUGCUUGUUUGCUUGUUUGUUUGUUUGUUUGUUUGUUUGUUUGUUUGUUUUAUUUGAUGCUGUGAUUUCUAGUUUAACCUCUAGUUUGACCUUUACAGUGACCAGCAGCAGUCUAACAACAUCAAACUGGGUGUCUCACAGCUCUAUGCUGGUCAUUUAUUUGAUGAUUCUGUUCGCUCUGUUAGGAGGAUUUCACAUCUACAUCCACACACAAGUCAGGAAAGAAAGAAGAUCAAAACCUGAUGAUGAGGAGAUUUAGUGAAGAACACAGAGCAGAUCUCAUCACAUCUAUAUUACAAUGACUUCAUGAUGUUCAAGAGUUUCACCUGGAUACAGAGUUUAUUUUCACAUAUAGUUUUUUCGUCUUUUACUUUAGUAUGUUGGUUUUGAUUGAUUUCUCAUUGUUUAUGAUACCUAAACUAUUCAAACUUUUUGAGAUGUCUGGUGUUUUACUUUUUUUUUUCUUCUUGCAUUUGCAUUUUGUGAUAUGUGUAAUAUUUUUAGUCAGGGGUGGCAUGGUGGCUCAGUGGUCAGCACUGUCGCUUCACAGCAAAACGAUCACUGGUUCAAGUCUCAGCUGGGCCAGUUGGCAUUUCUGUGUGGAGUUUGCAUGUUCUCCCUGUGUUGGCGUGGGUUUCCAGGUGCUUCGGUUUCCCCCAGAAUCCAAACACAUGCGCUAUAGGUGAAUUGAAUAAGCUAAAUUGGCCAUUGUGUGUGUGUGUGUGUGUGUGUGUGUGUGUGUGUGUGUGUGUGUGUGUGUGAAUGUGAAUGGGUGUGUAUGGGUGUUUCCCAGUCUUGGGAUGCAGCUGGACUUGCAUUCACUGCGUAAAACAUAUGCAGGAAUAGUUGGCGGUUCAUUCCACUGUGGCAACCCCUGAUAAAUAAGCGGCAUAAAAGAAUGAAUAAAUUAAUACUUUGAGCUAUUAUGCAUUUAUUUUUAUUUUGUUGUUCAUUUUAGAUUAUCGCUAAACAGAGCAUUAUUUAAUAAUUGUAAUAUUAAGUCUUCAAUUUAUGGUGAAAUUUAGUUAGAAGAUGUAAUUAUACAUAAUUAAAAUAAAAAGUAGUUUGUUCUUAAUUAAAAUGUGUAAUACAACUAAUUCUCAUUUUAAAGGGACAGUUCACCCACAAAUUGAAUUUUACUCACUAAUUAGUUCCAAACAUUUAUGAGUUUCUUUCUUCUGUUGGAGAUAUUUUGAUAAAUGUUAUAAACUUGUAACCAUUAGAGGAAGAACAAAGUAUGGAAGUCAAUGGUUGGGUUUACAACAUUCUUCAAAUAUCCCCUUUUGCAUUUUAUAGAAUAAAGAAACUCAAACAGGUUUGAAAUAAGAGUGAGUAAAUGAUGACAGAGUUUUCAUCUUUGAGUGAAUUAUCCAUUUAAUUCACAUUAACCACACAUUAGUCACACAAUAUUUGCUUUAUUUGUAAAUGUUAAGAUCUCACGAAGAGAAUUUUCCAUGAUUCUUUGUUUCAAUUUUGUAAAUUCAAUUUUUGAAUGUAUUUAAAGCUGCAGAGAGCAAAAUAUCAUCUAAAUAUAUAUUUUUUCUUUUAUAUGUGGAUUAUACUUUGGGUUUUGUCAUGGUCUUCAGCACAGAGUAACUCAUGUGUUUUUUUCUUAAAUACAGGGCUGCCAACUCAUACAAUACUUUACAUGAUGAGGUUUGUCACGCCAUAGUAAACCAAGUGUUGCAGAACAUGUUUUUGGUUUCUGAUCUUACACCACAUGCCUAUUUUUUCACACUGAGUCAUUUCAAAAAACAACAUUAAAGCAGUUUCUGAGGAUAAAGAGUGUUGUUUCCCUAGGUAAAUGUCAGGUUUUAAUGUGACGUGACAGCUCUUUUAUUGGUGUUUUUUCAAUGGUGGAAACACUGAUUUAGUGACAUGAGACACACACAACAUAUUUCAUAAAGUUCUACUGUGUUUCAGCAUAUUCAUGUUUUAACUUGAUAUUUUGCUUCUGAAUUAAACACUUUUUUUCAUUAAACCUCUUUAGCAGUGUUAUAUAUUUUGCUGACGUAUCUACUUAUGACAUAACAUUAUCUACAUUGUUACAUUAUCUACAUUAUGGCAUUGUUUGUUGUGACUACACGUUCUCUAUAGCGGUGAAAAUGACAUGCUGCACAUUUAAGCUGCCCGCUCUAUCAGUGUGUAGCGUGUGCAUUUUUAAUAACUGUCUCCACAAUAGUUUUCUGGGCUGCAUGGGAUUCUGAAGUCAUUC
Long non-coding RNA from Danio rerio (zebrafish), 3088 nucleotides. The record is from Ensembl. NCBI's taxonomy places the organism in Eukaryota, Metazoa, Chordata, Actinopteri, Cypriniformes, Danionidae.